Molecule: long non-coding RNA, 435 nt
Filed under: Panax ginseng (ginseng)
Lineage: Eukaryota; Viridiplantae; Streptophyta; Magnoliopsida; Apiales; Araliaceae
Description: long non-coding RNA (PGIN_LNC018653)
Source: RNAcentral
UUGAAUAUUUAUUCGCUUAUCUAUUUUUUUCUUAAAAAAAGAGAAACUUGAAUUCCCGGUCAUUUUUUGUCGGUUGAGAGGUCGGAGGGUGUCUUUUGUUACGUUAAUUAAAUAUUAGGAUGUAAUUACGCAUGUUUUAAAUAUUAGGAUGUAAAUCUCAAUUUUGUUAUAAAAUUGGGGUGCAAAAUGUACUUUAAUCCAAAUUUAAGUGACAUUUGGCGAAGAUACAUUUGAGACAGGGAUCUGAGAAAAUCUAGAGAGAGAAAAUCUAGUAAGAAUGAGAAAGGGGAAAAAAAGACUGUACCGAGAGUUAGAUCGUUUCAGCUGAAACUAAGGAAGGUUUAUUCUAUUCUGCCCACAGUUUUACAAGUAUAUUCAAAAACCAAUAUAUAUAUAUAUAUAUAUAUAUAUAUAUAUAUAUAUAUAUAUAUAUAU